RNAcentral lists this small nucleolar RNA (138 nucleotides) under Ornithorhynchus anatinus (platypus). The record is from RNAcentral. Lineage: Eukaryota; Metazoa; Chordata; Mammalia; Monotremata; Ornithorhynchidae.
CCCCUCUCAGGGUCACACCUGGAGAGUUUCCAGUACUCUACCAGUCACGACUAUAGGUGGGAAAAUGAAGCAGAGGCCUAUCCAUUCCAUUCCUGGCUUGGGCAGUGGCUAGUGAGUGGAAGGCAAUCUCCUACAAGU